UAUUUGACGUAAAAUGACGCAUUGAAUUAACAAACCGGUUUGAUGUUGCUUUAAAUGUUCAUUGCUGUAACCUGUCGCUCGCUGCUCCGUUUGCUCCCAGGCCACUCAAAGGUGGGCUUUGCACUUUACCACAAGGACUACCACCCAUGGAGAGGCAGAUCCAUUUUUCUGGGGCACUUGUAUGUGAUGCCUGAGUUCAGAGGGCAGGGCGUCGGCAGAGCAAGGUAGCCCAGCUCGGCCUGGCCGCCGGCUGCCACCAGCUCAACUUCACUGUCCUGGAGAGGAACAAAUCCGCUCAGGACUUCUAUCUCCAGCUGGGCUGCGUCGACAUCACAGCGAGCACGGGCCAGCUCCGUAUGCGCUGCGAGGGGGAGGCGCUGCAGCACCUGGCGGAUACCCUGACCCAACGCUGUGGCUGACGCCGCCGCCGCCGCCCAUUACUACCGACGGGUCGACCCACGCAGUGCAGGGGCACCGCUCAGUGGGUUGAGGACUUCUUGAGGAAUGAGGACUGUAUUGUUGUGUUUAAAGCCAACUAUCACGUCUCGGUAUUUACAUAUGGCGAGGGACUUAAAUGUUUAAACAUGUUUCCAAGUGCUGCAAAAUAAAGGGU
This is a long non-coding RNA of Acanthopagrus latus (yellowfin seabream), 613 nucleotides long. RefSeq lists it as uncharacterized. The transcript has 3 exons. The record is from RefSeq and is a predicted model, not a curated record. Lineage: Eukaryota; Metazoa; Chordata; Actinopteri; Spariformes; Sparidae.